Molecule: ribosomal RNA, 425 nt
Filed under: uncultured bacterium
Lineage: Bacteria
Description: bacterial SSU rRNA
Rfam family: Bacterial small subunit ribosomal RNA
Source: RNAcentral
GAAUAUUGGACAAUGGGCGCAAGCCUGAUCCAGCCAUGCCGCGUGUGUGAAGAAGGCCUUCGGGUUGUAAAGCACUUUCAGCGAGGAGGAAGGGUGUUGUGUUAAUAGCACAGCAUUUUGACGUUACUCGCAGAAGAAGCACCGGCUGACUCCGUGACAGCAGCCGCGGGAAUACAGAGGGUGCGAGCGUUAAUCGGAAUUACUGGGCGUAAAGCGCACGUAGGUGGCGACGUAAGUCGGGUGUGAAAGCCCCGGGCUCAACCUGGGAAUUGCAUUCGAGACUGUGUUGCUGGAGUACGGAAGAGGAGGGCGGAAUUCCCGGUGUAGCGGUGAAAUGCGUAGAUAUCGGGAGGAACAUCAGUGGCGAAGGCGGCCCUCUGGUCCAGUACUGACACUCAAGUGCGAAAGCGUGGGGAGCAAACAGG